RNAcentral lists this ribosomal RNA (467 nucleotides) under uncultured bacterium. RNAcentral's name for it is "bacterial SSU rRNA". It matches the Rfam family "Bacterial small subunit ribosomal RNA", at positions 330 to 795 of the family's 1533-position model. The record is from RNAcentral.
CCCAGACUCCUACGGGAGGCAGCAGUGAGGAAUAUUGGUCAAUGGGAGAGAUCCUGAACCAGCCAAGCCGCGUGAAGGAAGAAGGCGCCAGGCGUCGUAAACUUCUUUUGUCGGGGAACAAAGGGCGCCACGCGUGGCGUUGUGAGUGUACCCGAAGAAAAAGCAUCGGCUAACUCCGUGCCAGCAGCCGCGGUAAUACGGAGGAUGCGAGCGUUAUCCGGAUUUAUUGGGUUUAAAGGGUGCGUAGGCGGAAUAUCAAGUCAGCGGUAAAAAUUCGGGGCUCAACCCCGUCGUGCCGUUGAAACUGAUGUUCUUGAGUGGGCGAGAAGUAUGCGGAAUGCGUGGUGUAGCGGUGAAAUGCAUAGAUAUCACGCAGAACUCCGAUUGCGAAGGCAGCAUACCGGCGCCCGACUGACGCUGAAGCACGAAAGCGUGGGUAUCGAACAGGAUUAGAUACCCGGGUAGGC